Molecule: long non-coding RNA, 247 nt
Filed under: Chinchilla lanigera (long-tailed chinchilla)
Lineage: Eukaryota; Metazoa; Chordata; Mammalia; Rodentia; Chinchillidae
Description: lncRNA (ENSCLAG00000023484.1)
Source: RNAcentral
CUGGAUCAGAGCGAUCUCCCCAGCCAGGGAAUGAAGAGCCCUCCCAUGCCCAGAUGUGUUCAAAGCACUGGCCAGUGGCCAUGCGGUAUCAGUCCAUCCCACUCCUCAACCAGGGUGGGAGGAGCACAAAGUGAGAUUCACAGGCAGCUGAGCAGUGAGUGAGACAGAGAUGGUGAGUCUUCAGGCAAAGCAGGACCUGAAAAUUCCCUUAACCAGGGGAGUGGUGAGAUUGGACGCUGCACAUUUU